Paramuricea clavata is the source of this 210-nucleotide non-coding RNA. Lineage: Eukaryota; Metazoa; Cnidaria; Anthozoa; Malacalcyonacea; Plexauridae. The record is from the annotation of a GenBank genome assembly.
GUCGGGUUCCAAUCCAGAGACGCUAUCCAGUCCGCAAACGACGAAGUAAUCAAUAAGUCGCUGUCCUCCAUUAGCUGCAGACAUUAUGCGUUCUUCUCGUGGCGUAUUUCACGCGAAAAGCAAGACAAUUCAAGCAUUUCGUGGCCAGAAAUGCAAAGAUAAAAUCGGCAUCUCAGGAGUAGGUCGAAGUUCUGCUUUGUUUUUGUAUCG